AGGAAAAACAAAUCUCUUGUGAAACUGUUAAGCUUAACUUAACAACGUGCAGGAGACACUAUUUUUCUAGAGACCGGGAGGAGUCAGAGGUAUUCUUGGGGGAGCGGUAAAAUGCUAUAAUCCCAAGAGGACCACCGAUGGCGAAGGCAUCUGACUAGAACGGAUCUGACUGUGAGGGACGAAGGCCAGGGGAGCGAACCGGAUUAGAUACCCGCGUAGUCCUGGCAGUAAACGCUGCGAGCUAGGUGUUGCAUAAUCUACGGAUUGUGCAGUGUCGAAACGAAGGUGUUAAGCUCGCCGCCUGGGAA
RNAcentral lists this ribosomal RNA (308 nucleotides) under uncultured archaeon. RNAcentral's name for it is "bacterial SSU rRNA". It matches the Rfam family "Archaeal small subunit ribosomal RNA", at positions 526 to 834 of the family's 1478-position model. The record is from RNAcentral.